CCUACGGGUGGCAGCAGUGAGGGAUAUUGGUCAAUGGGGGAAACCCUGAACCAGCAACGCCGCGUGAAUGAAGACGGUUUUCGGAUUGUAAACCUCUGUCCUCUGUGACGAUAAUGACGGUAGCAGAGGAGGAAGCUCCCGCUACCUACGUGACAGCAGCCGCGGUAGUACUUAGGGAGUGAGCGUUGUCCGCAUUUACUGGGUGGAAAGGGGGCGUAGGCGGCCCUGCAGGUAAGAAGUGAAAUCCAUGGGCUUAACCAGUGACCUGCAUUUGAAACUGGAGUACUUGAGUGGAGUAGAGGUAGGCGGAAUUCCGGGUGUAGCGGUGAAAUGCGUAGAGAUCGGGAGGAACACCAGUGGCGAAGGCGGCCUACUGGGCUUUAACUGACGCUGAAGCACGAAAGCGUGGGUAGCAAACAGGAUUAGAUACCCUAGUAGUC
This 440-nucleotide ribosomal RNA is filed under the name uncultured bacterium. RNAcentral describes it as "partial 16S ribosomal RNA". It matches the Rfam family "Bacterial small subunit ribosomal RNA", at positions 338 to 795 of the family's 1533-position model. The record is from RNAcentral.